GUUUGAUUGUGUUACCUUGUUUGCUCAAUGUUGCCAAAAUCUCGAUACUGAAAACGUGUAAAAUGCAUUUAAAACGUAUAAUAUUCGGCAAAUCGCUAUUACCGAGUCUGCUCAUUUAUCUUAUCAAUCGUUUUGGUUAUUCAAGCAUCGUUUAUGGCAAGUUCGAAGCUUUUUAUCUUUCAUUAUUGACCGUUUUGACUUUCCGUUUCCGACCGCCAUUUGUACUGAUGAAAAGACAACUCUGUCAAUCGACGAACGACUACUCUUUUUCAAUGUACAAUAAUUUAUAUGAACCACAGAUACGUUGUUAAUUCAAAACACUGUUAAAUUUGAUAAGAGCCAUUAUCAAAC
Molecule: long non-coding RNA, 351 nt
Filed under: Mytilus galloprovincialis (Mediterranean mussel)
Lineage: Eukaryota; Metazoa; Mollusca; Bivalvia; Mytilida; Mytilidae
Source: RNAcentral